RNAcentral lists this ribosomal RNA (720 nucleotides) under Bacillus licheniformis. RNAcentral describes it as "bacterial SSU rRNA". It matches the Rfam family "Bacterial small subunit ribosomal RNA", at positions 51 to 752 of the family's 1533-position model. The record is from RNAcentral. Lineage: Bacteria; Bacillati; Bacillota; Bacilli; Caryophanales; Bacillaceae.
AUACAUGCAAGUCGAGCGGACCGACGGGAGCUUGCUCCCUUAGGUCAGCGGCGGACGGGUGAGUAACACGUGGGUAACCUGCCUGUAAGACUGGGAUAACUCCGGGAAACCGGGGCUAAUACCGGAUGCUUGAUUGAACCGCAUGGUUCAAUUAUAAAAGGUGGCUUUUAGCUACCACUUACAGAUGGACCCGCGGCGCAUUAGCUAGUUGGUGAGGUAACGGCUCACCAAGGCGACGAUGCGUAGCCGACCUGAGAGGGUGAUCGGCCACACUGGGACUGAGACACGGCCCAGACUCCUACGGGAGGCAGCAGUAGGGAAUCUUCCGCAAUGGACGAAAGUCUGACGGAGCAACGCCGCGUGAGUGAUGAAGGUUUUCGGAUCGUAAAACUCUGUUGUUAGGGAAGAACAAGUACCGUUCGAAUAGGGCGGCACCUUGACGGUACCUAACCAGAAAGCCACGGCUAACUACGUGCCAGCAGCCGCGGUAAUACGUAGGUGGCAAGCGUUGUCCGGAAUUAUUGGGCGUAAAGCGCGCGCAGGCGGUUUCUUAAGUCUGAUGUGAAAGCCCCCGGCUCAACCGGGGAGGGUCAUUGGAAACUGGGGAACUUGAGUGCAGAAGAGGAGAGUGGAAUUCCACGUGUAGCGGUGAAAUGCGUAGAGAUGUGGAGGAACACCAGUGGCGAAGGCGACUCUCUGGUCUGUAACUGACGCUGAGGC